GUGUCAGCCGCCGCGGUAAUACAGAGGGUGCGAGCGUUGUCCGGAAUCACUGGGCGUAAAGGGCGCGUAGGCGGUCUCUUAAGCGUGUGGUGAAAGCCCGGGGCUCAACUCCGGGUCGGCCGUGCGAACUGGGGGACUGGAGCUUGUCAGAGGCAGGCGGAAUUCCGGGUGUAGCGGUGGAAUGCGUAGAGAUCCGGAAGAACACCGGUGGCGAAGGCGGCCUGCUGGGACAGUGCUGACGCUGAGGCGCGACAGCGUGGGGAGCAAACAGGAUUAGAUACCCCGGUAGUCC
Molecule: ribosomal RNA, 292 nt
Filed under: uncultured bacterium
Lineage: Bacteria
Description: partial 16S ribosomal RNA
Rfam family: Bacterial small subunit ribosomal RNA
Source: RNAcentral